This 405-nucleotide ribosomal RNA is filed under the name Vibrio cholerae. RNAcentral describes it as "bacterial SSU rRNA". It matches the Rfam family "Bacterial small subunit ribosomal RNA", at positions 391 to 787 of the family's 1533-position model. The record is from RNAcentral. Lineage: Bacteria; Pseudomonadati; Pseudomonadota; Gammaproteobacteria; Vibrionales; Vibrionaceae.
GCCAUGCCGCGUGUAUGAAGAAGGCCUUCGGGUUGUAAAGUACUUUCAGUAGGGAGGAAGAUGGUUAAGUUAAUACCUUAAUCAUUUGACGUUACCUACAGAAGAAGCACCGGCUAACUCCGUGCCAGCAGCCGCGGUAAUACGGAGGGUGCAAGCGUUAAUCGGAAUUACUGGGCGUAAAGCGCAUGCAGGUGGUUUGUUAAGUCAGAUGUGAAAGCCCUGGGCUCAACCUAGGAAUCGCAUUUGAAACUGACAAGCUAGAGUACUGUAGAGGGGGGUAGAAUUUCAGGUGUAGCGGUGAAAUGCGUAGAGAUCUGAAGGAAUACCGGUGGCGAAGGCGGCCCCCUGGACAGAUACUGACACUCAGAUGCGAAAGCGUGGGGAGCAAACAGGAUUAGAUACACC